Molecule: ribosomal RNA, 497 nt
Filed under: uncultured bacterium
Lineage: Bacteria
Description: partial 16S ribosomal RNA
Rfam family: Bacterial small subunit ribosomal RNA
Source: RNAcentral
GAUGAACGCUGGCGGCGUGCCUAAUACAUGCAAGUCGAGCGAACGGACGAGAAGCUUGCGCCUCUGAUGGUAGCGGCCGACGGGAGAUUAACACGUGGAUAACCUACCUAUAAGACUGGGAUAACUACGCGAAACCGGAUCUAAUACCGGAUAAUAUUUUGAACCGCAUGGUUCAAAAGUUAAAGACGGUCUUGCUGUCACUUAUAGAUGGAUCCGCGCUGCAUGAGCUAGUUGGCAAGGUAACGGCUUACCAAGGCAACGAUGGAUAGACGACCUCAGAGCGUGGUCGGCCACCCUGGCAGUGAGACACGGCACACACUCCUACGCGAGGCAGCAGUAGGGAAUCCUCCGCAAUGGGCGAGAGCCUAACAGAGCAAAGCCGCGUGAGGGAUGAAGGUCUUCGGAUCGUAAAGCUAUGUUGGUAGGGAAGUUGAAAUGUGUAUGUAACAGUGAACAUCUUGACGGUACCUAGUCAAAAAGCCCCGGCUAACUACGUG